Molecule: ribosomal RNA, 400 nt
Filed under: uncultured soil bacterium
Lineage: Bacteria
Description: bacterial SSU rRNA
Rfam family: Bacterial small subunit ribosomal RNA
Source: RNAcentral
AGAUUGAACGCUGGCGGCAUGCCUUACACAUGCAAGUCGAACGGCAGCACGGGAGCAAUCCUGGUGGCGAGUGGCGAACGGGUGAGUAAUAUAUCGGAACGUGCCCAGUCGUGGGGGAGUAACGCAGCGAAAGCUGUGCUAAUACCGCAUACGAUCUAUGGAUGAAAGCGGGGGAUCGCAAGACCUCGCGCGAUUGGAGCGGCCGAUAUCAGAGUUAGCGUAGUUGGUAGGGGUAAAAGCCUACCGAAGGUCGACGAUCUGUAGCUGGUCUGAGAGGACGACCAGCCACACUGGAACUGAGACACGGUCCAGACUCCGUACGGGAGCAGGCAAGGUGGGGUAAUUUUGGACGAAGUGGGCGACGAAGCCUAGACUCCAGCAAUGGCCGCGUGCGAAGGAU